RNAcentral lists this ribosomal RNA (347 nucleotides) under uncultured bacterium. RNAcentral describes it as "partial 16S ribosomal RNA". It matches the Rfam family "Bacterial small subunit ribosomal RNA", at positions 338 to 682 of the family's 1533-position model. The record is from RNAcentral.
CCUACGGGAGGCAGCAGUGAGGAAUAUUGGUCAAUGGACGAGAGUCUGAACCAGCCAAGUAGCGUGAAGGAUGAAUGCCCUAUGGGUUGUAAACUUCUUUUAUAAAGGAAUAAAACGAAGCACGUGUGCCGUUUUGCAUGUACGUUAUGAAUAAGGAUCGGCUAACUCCGUGCCAGCAGCCGCGGUAAUACGGAGGCUCCGAGCGUUAUCCGGAUUUAUUGGGUUUAACGGGAGCGUAGAGGGGUUGUUAAGUCAGUUGUGAAAGUUUGCGGCUCAACCGUAAAAUUGCAAUUGAUACUGGCAGUCUUGCGUACAGUUGCGGUCGGCGGACUUCGUGGUGUCGCGGU